CCUACGGGAUGCUGCAGUGAGGAAUAUUGGUCAAUGGACGAGAGUCUGAACCAGCCAAGUAGCGUGAAGGAUGACUGCCCUAUGGGUUGUAAACUUCUUUUAUAUGGGAAUAAAAUGUUCCACGUGUGGGAUUUUGUAUGUACCAUAUGAAUAAGGAUCGGCUAACUCCGUGCCAGCAGCCGCGGUAAUACGGAGGAUCCGAGCGUUAUCCGGAUUUAUUGGGUUUAAAGGGAGCGUAGGUGGAAUGUUAAGUCAGUUGUGAAAGUUUGCGGCUCAACCGUAAAAUUGCAGUUGAAACUGGCAGUCUGGAGUACAGUAGAGGUGGGCGGAAUUCGUGGUGUAGCGGUGAAAUGCUUAGAUAUCACGAAGAACUCCGAUUGCGAAGGCAGCUCACUGGACUGCAACUGACACUGAGGCUCGAAAGUGUGGGUAUCAAACAGGAUUAGAUACCCCAGUAGUC
Molecule: ribosomal RNA, 460 nt
Filed under: uncultured bacterium
Lineage: Bacteria
Description: partial 16S ribosomal RNA
Rfam family: Bacterial small subunit ribosomal RNA
Source: RNAcentral